AACGCACCAUUAAGAUUGCAGGGCCUGGAGGUUCGGGGUGGCCCAUUACAUGUGGUGCUAAGCAAACAGAGUAUUUGGUUCAUUUGGGGAAUAAUGAUUUUUGUCAUAUCCGAACUGCCCAGAACGAUGAAAUUGAUUGUCGUCAAUAUCUUUGUAUAACCACGUUUCAAAUUGUUGUUGGAGAAGGAGGAAGUUGUAUCAAGACCUUAGAUUCAACUGUUUUUCAUGUGGAUGUUAGGCACUCUGGUACUUUCUAUAUUACAUUCAGCUUCGCACCGUAAGUUUCCUUCACGUUUUUGUGUUUUCAUUUAUAACAUUUGGGAUUCUCAUAUAUUUUGUAUGUAACAUGGUUUAUGAUUAUUUUGACUAAGUGAGUGCGGGGAUUUUGAACCUAAAGAAGAAGAGGAGAGUGUAGAAACAAAGUGCAAGGUAAGUUACCAUCCUCACAUCACUUGUAAUUAAAUUACUUGGAGAUAUUUUAAAAGGGAAAAGGAAAAAUAUAUGGGAGGAAGAAGAGUUUCUCGAUGCCUAAGCUACCUGCAGCUGUGAUACCUGAAUAUAUUUUUUUGUUUCCAUUGGGAAAACCGAUUUGAUCUAGGUCCUUUAUCAGUCAUGUCAAAUUUUUUGGUACAGUUUGGGUGAUUUGCUAUGUGGUUUUUUGUGCCCUCAUCGGCCAACAAGGGCACAAAAACUGUCACAAGUGCAAGAAGCGUGUCUAUAUGAAAUCUUUUCAUUUAUAUAAUGACCAUGAAUCUAGAAACUCAAUUUUUUUUGCAUGUAUGUAAGUGUUUUUAAUCAGCCUCUGAAUCUUUGUUUCGCAGAGACAAGCUGUCGAGCAUGAAGUAUUAAAGCAGAAAAUAGCAAGCACGAAAAAGCCAAGCAUUUCAGAAUAUGGGUUGUAUUUGUUGAACCAAAGACAGA
Molecule: long non-coding RNA, 921 nt
Filed under: Prunus dulcis (almond)
Lineage: Eukaryota; Viridiplantae; Streptophyta; Magnoliopsida; Rosales; Rosaceae
Description: sRNA ncRNA
Source: RNAcentral